CCUACGGGAGGCAGCAGUGGGGAAUAUUGCACAAUGGGGGAAACCCUGAUGCAGCGACGCCGCGUGAGUGAAGAAGUAAUUCGUUAUGUAAAGCUCUAUCAGCAGGGAAGAAAAUGACGGUACCUGAGUAAGAAUCCCCGGCUAACUACGUGCCAGCAGCCGCGGUAAUACGUAGGGGGCAAGCGUUAUCCGGAUUUACUGGGUGGAAAGGGAGCGUAGACGGCAGUGCAAGUCUGGAGUGAAAGGCGGGGGCUCAACCCCCGGACUGCUCUGGAAACUGUAAGGCUGGAGUGCAGGAGAGGUAAGUGGAAUGCCUGGUGUAGCGGUGAAAGGCGUAGAUAUCAGGAGGAACACCGGUGGCGAAGGCGGCCUGCUGGACUGCGACUGACGUUGAGGCCCGAAAGCGUGGGGAGCAAACAGGAUUAGAUACCCCAGUAGUC
RNAcentral lists this ribosomal RNA (440 nucleotides) under uncultured bacterium. RNAcentral describes it as "partial 16S ribosomal RNA". It matches the Rfam family "Bacterial small subunit ribosomal RNA", at positions 338 to 795 of the family's 1533-position model. The record is from RNAcentral.